Molecule: ribosomal RNA, 253 nt
Filed under: uncultured bacterium
Lineage: Bacteria
Description: partial 16S ribosomal RNA
Rfam family: Bacterial small subunit ribosomal RNA
Source: RNAcentral
UACGGAGGGGGCUAGCGUUGUUCGGAAUUACUGGGCAUAAAAAAUGCAUAGGUGGUUUGUUAAGUCAGGGGUGAAAUCCCGCGGCCCAACCGUGGAACUGCCUUUGAUACUGGCGAACUUGAGUGCGUGAGGGGUAGGGGGAACGAGCAGUGUAGCGGUGAAAUGCGUAGAUAUUGCUCGGAAGGCCAGAGCCGAAGGGGCCCUACUGGUGCGUAACUGACACUGAGGCACGAAAGCGUGGGGAGCAAACAGG